This 330-nucleotide ribosomal RNA is filed under the name uncultured eukaryote. RNAcentral describes it as "partial 18S ribosomal RNA". It matches the Rfam family "Eukaryotic small subunit ribosomal RNA", at positions 1470 to 1796 of the family's 1831-position model. The record is from RNAcentral.
CCCUUAGAUGUUCUGGGCCGCACGCGUGCUACACUGAUGCAUUCAACGAGUCUAAAACCUGGUCUGAUAGGGCUGGGUAAUCUUUUGAAAGUGCAUCGUGAUUGGGAUAGAUGAUUGCAAUUCUUCAUCUUCAACGAGGAAUGCCUAGUAAACGCAAGUCAUCAGCUUGCAUUGAUUACGUCCCUGCCCUUUGUACACACCGCCCGUCGCUCCUACCGAUUGAAUGAUCCGAUGAAUACCAUGGAUUGAGAGUACGAAUAGGUUCGCUUAUUUCUGCUGCUCGAGAAGUGGAGUAAAUCUUAUCAGUUAGAGGAAGGAGAAGUCGUAACA